This 181-nucleotide ribosomal RNA is filed under the name uncultured Volutella. RNAcentral's name for it is "partial small subunit ribosomal RNA". It matches the Rfam family "Eukaryotic small subunit ribosomal RNA", at positions 1508 to 1690 of the family's 1831-position model. The record is from RNAcentral. Lineage: Eukaryota; Fungi; Ascomycota; Sordariomycetes; Hypocreales; Nectriaceae.
GGAGCCAGCGAGUACCUCCUUGGCCGGAAGGCCCGGGUAAUCUUGUUAAACUCCGUCGUGCUGGGGAUAGAGCAUUGCAAUUAUUGCUCUUCAACGAGGAAUCCCUAGUAAGCGCAAGUCAUCAGCUUGCGUUGAUUACGUCCCUGCCCUUUGUACACACCGCCCGUCGCUACUACCGAUU